CAGCCGCCACGGUAAUACGAAGGGGGCUAGCGUUGUUCGGAUUUACUGGGCGUAUAGCGCGCGUAGGCGGAUCGAUCAGUCAGGGGUGAAAUCCCAGAGCUCAACUCUGGAACUGCCUUUGAUACUGUCGAUCUGGAGUAUGGAAGAGGUGAGUGGAAUUCCGAGUGUAGAGGUGAAAUUCGUAGAUAUUCGGAGGAACACCAGUGGCGAAGGCGGCUCACUGGUCCAUUACUGACGCUGAGGUGCGAAAGCGUGGGGAGCAAACAGGAUUAGAUACCCCUGUAGUCCCUGUCUCUUAUAC
This 301-nucleotide ribosomal RNA is filed under the name uncultured bacterium. RNAcentral describes it as "partial 16S ribosomal RNA". It matches the Rfam family "Bacterial small subunit ribosomal RNA", at positions 509 to 807 of the family's 1533-position model. The record is from RNAcentral.